AAUACAUGAUGACACUAGUUUUGGUCCCAGAUGAAGAGCAGUGAUUACAUUAUUGAGAUCUCCUGAUAUU
Pygocentrus nattereri (red-bellied piranha) is the source of this 70-nucleotide small nucleolar RNA. RefSeq annotates it as small nucleolar RNA SNORD73. The transcript has a single exon. Lineage: Eukaryota; Metazoa; Chordata; Actinopteri; Characiformes; Serrasalmidae. The record is from RefSeq and is a predicted model, not a curated record.